CACACACACACACACACACACACAAUCAAUCAACACUUCUUCCGGUCGUGAGGUGGUGCAACGCGCCGAAUGCACGAAGAUCUCGCUCUAUGAGGUCAGUAAUUCCUCAAUUCUCUGGGAUGUCGAACGGCUGCUUGCUGGUUCUUUUUUUCUUGUUGUUUAUCUAUCCGAUUAGCAAGCUGAUAAAUUUCGUAACAUCGAGACCGGCUCGUAAGGUCAGAAGGACAUUUAUCAAAUAUAUUCUGGAGGAAUAGUAAUAACAUGGAUAAUUCGUGAGUUAUGCCAGUGAGAUACGCGAUGGCACGUGCGGAUUAUCAAGUUAAACGAUUUCGUCAUAAUUUCACAUAUUGUGUAUUCAACAGUAUGGAGAUAGCGGUUUCAUCAAAAUCGGAAGGCCGGAUCUUUUAUACGGUGAAAAUGAGGUAACUAUCCGUACGAUGAUUAAUGCCUGGCACACAGUUGGCUGACUGAAAAUAAACGACGGUAAAAUUAACUGCGGCUGUAAAAUUGUCAUUAUAUAUUGAACGGAAAUAAAAUCACAGCGUGUAUAUC
This is a long non-coding RNA of Pogonomyrmex barbatus (red harvester ant), 552 nucleotides long. The record is from RefSeq and is a predicted model, not a curated record. NCBI's taxonomy places the organism in Eukaryota, Metazoa, Arthropoda, Insecta, Hymenoptera, Formicidae.